RNAcentral lists this unclassified non-coding RNA (476 nucleotides) under Hevea brasiliensis (rubber tree). Lineage: Eukaryota; Viridiplantae; Streptophyta; Magnoliopsida; Malpighiales; Euphorbiaceae. The record is from RNAcentral.
GAACCACUCAAUUUCGAAUUUGAUUUUGGCAACCCUAAUGAAAAUUUUUACGUUUUCAUGCACUUUGCUGAAGUUGAAAGGGUCCAAAUGAAUCAAUCUAGAGAAUUCAACAUUAGUUUAAAUGAUCUGGUGUUAGGAGAAGUUGUUGUACUCCAGUACCUGCGCUCUAAAACUAUAACCCUGAAGCCGGUGAGAGGAGCUAAGCUUAGCUUCUCUCUCUAUAAGUUGGCAAAUUCUACCCUUCCGCCCAUUUUGAAUGCACUGGAAAUAUAUCUAGAGAAAAUUUUCUGGCAGCAGCCAACAAACCAAGAAGAUGCAAAUGCAAUUGAAGACAUCAAGUCAACAUAUAACGUGGUUAAAGGUUGGCAAGGAGAUCCGUGCUUACCUCAUCCAUCUUGGGAUGGCUUGAAUUGCAAUAAAAAUGGCUAUCAUCCCCCAAGAAUUAUUUCCCUGAAUUUGUCAUCAAGUGGUUUAAC